CUUUCAAAGACGGAGCUCGAGCCGUUGCAGGGUUUCUCGUCAUCGUCACAACAUUUUUGAAUCCAACGAGAUACGUGCUACCUCUGAAGGACUUUACUGUUAUCGAUGAAACUUUAGAGAACUUCGGAGUACGUGUAAAUAACGAAAGCACCUUUAGGUGGCAACUGUUACAAAUAAUUUUUUUCGUCGCGACGCCAUUUCUGCUGUCCGUCUGGAAUUUCUACAUUUACAACGAGCCAACACGCAACAAAUAUUUCAGUAUGAUGAUGACGGGUCACAUUUUCACCAUAACGUCACUGUUCAGUUAUGGAAUGGUAGAUUGUUCCUUCUGC
RNAcentral lists this unclassified non-coding RNA (332 nucleotides) under Athalia rosae (coleseed sawfly). RNAcentral describes it as "misc RNA ENSAEAG00005011681.1". Lineage: Eukaryota; Metazoa; Arthropoda; Insecta; Hymenoptera; Athaliidae. The record is from RNAcentral.